AAUGAUGUUUCUCUCAAAUUCUAUUUUCAUUGGUGUUGGUUUCCUGUUGUUUCUUUUGUAGAUCCACCCCGGCUGAUGAAUAAGAACUUGCAGAAGGAAGUUUGAGAUCGUAGACAACGAGGCUACCUGCACAAACAUGAACGAUUAGGGUUCAGUCAGUAAACUGAGAUGUCUGCUUAACCAUUUCGGGUGUCCCAAGCUGUCGAGUGUUUACCGGGCGCCGGAAUCUGCUGAUAUUUACAGCCAGUGCAAAGUUGGUAUGCAAUGAACGACUGGGUAACAAGCUGUUACAUUGUUGAUGUUUCAAAUAUUGGCUUAUCUUUUUUUUCAGCUUAGCAGUGCAAAUCCAAAGGUAUGGUAUUUUGUUUCUAUUGCUCACUUUAUUUACUUCAGUAUGAAGUCAGAAUCCUUAAUUUUGGCUAUGUACACAAAUUAAAGAUGAAGCUCUGACCAAGUCUCAGUUCAGGUACAUGUUCUUUUUUAUAGGUUCAAGAUGCAUGCUCUUUUUUACAUCCACGAGGAGACAUCUGAAACUAUUAUGGUAUGCCAUUAGUGCAAACGAAGAAAUAAUGUCCUUUUUGUCAUUGAAAGUUCAGAUAAUUUAACCUCACUUAGACAUGUGGCAGCGACCCCGCCGAGUGCCAUCUAGCUAGGAAAGCCUACCACCACGAAACUACUUAUGCAGAGUGUUCAGAAGCUCAUACACGAAGUUCGAUGCGGAUCUGAAGGAGGGUGCCACAUGGGUCAACAUUUACUACGCCACUAAGCCUGGCAUGCUGCUGUCAACGGCCCCGUGUGCGUGUGUGGCUCUGCCAGCCUCCUCCAGUUCCACGCUGGCGUUGUGUUCUUCUAGAUGUUAGUACCGGCUCCUCGCCAUGGUGGCUAUUUUUCUGAGACGCUUCCAAGGCCAGGUUUCAUGGGUGUUCUUCAGGUGUUGAUGGGCCCAUUGGGUUUACAGAUCUCCUCCAGGGCACAAAGAAGAAAAGAUAACAGCCGCCGAAUUCACCUUCUUUGGUCCCUAGGGAGUAGUUAGUCCUAUUUAAAGGCAAAAGAUGAGUUAGAUUGUUGUUGUGUCAGUCAUCUAAUAUUUUCUUUCCCUUUUCUCAGUUGUGUUGUUUAUGGUUGUAAUCAAUCAGUCUGAUCAAUGCAAUCUUCUCUGUUUUUUCCUUUCA
Long non-coding RNA from Lolium perenne, 1172 nucleotides. RefSeq lists it as uncharacterized. The record is from RefSeq and is a predicted model, not a curated record. Lineage: Eukaryota; Viridiplantae; Streptophyta; Magnoliopsida; Poales; Poaceae.